GACGAACCGUGCGAACGUUGUUCGGAAUCACUGGGCUUAAAGGGCGCGUAGGCGGGCUCACAAGUCAGGGGUGAAAUCCCACGGCUCAACCGUGGAAGUGCCUUUGAUACUGUGGGUCUUGAGGGAGGUAGGGGCGUGCGGAACUUCCGGUGGAGCGGUGAAAUGCGUAGAUAUCGGAAGGAACACCGGUGGCGAAAGCGGCGCGCUGGACCUCUUCUGACGCUGAGGCGCGAAAGCCAGGGGAGCAAACGGG
Molecule: ribosomal RNA, 253 nt
Filed under: uncultured bacterium
Lineage: Bacteria
Description: partial 16S ribosomal RNA
Rfam family: Bacterial small subunit ribosomal RNA
Source: RNAcentral